Molecule: long non-coding RNA, 736 nt
Filed under: Callithrix jacchus (white-tufted-ear marmoset)
Lineage: Eukaryota; Metazoa; Chordata; Mammalia; Primates; Cebidae
Description: lncRNA (ENSCJAG00000069800.1)
Source: RNAcentral
CUCUCACUUAGCUCUUUUAUUGUUCUCUUUUGAUAUCUGGUAUCUACCAUUUUUCCUCCACUCUCUCUCAGGAUCCUGACGUCAGGCUGUGUCUUGCUAGACAGGAGUGAGAACUAAAACCAAAGAAACCAGGUUCUGUUGUUCUUGCAUUUAUACAAAUCUUCCCUGCCUUAAAGGGCAGAAUCAAGUCAUGUAUCAGCCCACAUUCAAGACUAGCAUCUGUGAGAGAGAGAAUACUGGGAAUCAUAGUUCAUUGAUGAGAGAGAGUCUCUGCAACAUAGUCAGAGUGAUCAUUCUAAAGCACAAAUAUAAUUAUCAGACCCAGUUUUAAAAUCAGUGAAGCUCAGGCAAGAGCAUAAAUUGAAGUGCAUGGCUUCUGUGAUGGAUAAUUUUAGGUGUCAAAUUGACCAGACUAGGCAAUAUCUGCAGAACUGCUGAAGCAUUAUUUCUGUGUGUGUCUGUGAGAAUGUUUCUAGAAGAGAUUGGCGUGUGAGUCAGUGGAUUGUGGGGGUGGAGAUCUACCCUCAUUUUGGGCAGGAACCAUCCAAUUGGCUAGAGUCCAAGAUAAAGCAAAAAACGAACAGAAAACAGAGCUAGUAAAACCUUCUUCCCCUGCCCUUGGACAUCAGAACUCCAGGUUCUCUGGCCUUUCUUUGGAUUCCAGUAUGUACCACCCAUCCCCACAAGAUUAUCAGUCCUGUGGCCUUGGACUGAGAAUUACACAUUCAGCUUCUCU